GACGAACGCUGGCGGCGUGCCUAAUACAUGCAGUCGCGCGAAGUUUUUCUGGUGCUUGCACUAGAAAAACUUAGCGGCGAACGGGUGAGUAACACGUAAAGAACCUGCCUCAUAGACUGGGACAACUAUUGGAAACGAUAGCUAAUACCGGAUAACAGUAUUUCUCGCAUGAGAGAUAUUUAAAAGUUGGUUAUGCUAGCACUAUGAGAUGGCUUUGCGGUGCAUUAGCUAGUUGGUGGGGUAAAGGCCCACCAAGGCGGCGAUGCAUAGCCGACCUGAGAGGGUGAUCGGCCACACUGGGACUGAGACACGGCCCAGACUCCUACGGGAGGCAGCAGUAGGGAAUCUUCCGCAAUGGGCGAAAGCCUGACGGAGCAACGCCGCGUGAGUGAAGAAGGAUUUCGGUUCGUAAAGCUCUGUUGUUAGGGAAGAAUGGAUAUGUAGUAACUAUACAUGUAAGAGACGGUACCUAACCAGAAAGCCACGGCUAACUACGUG
Molecule: ribosomal RNA, 498 nt
Filed under: uncultured bacterium
Lineage: Bacteria
Description: partial 16S ribosomal RNA
Rfam family: Bacterial small subunit ribosomal RNA
Source: RNAcentral